RNAcentral lists this long non-coding RNA (650 nucleotides) under Serinus canaria (Common canary). Its description in RNAcentral is "lncRNA (ENSSCAG00000016914.1)". The record is from RNAcentral. Lineage: Eukaryota; Metazoa; Chordata; Aves; Passeriformes; Fringillidae.
AAGCAUCUGAAAUUGCUGAAUCACGCCUCAAGUCUGUUCUGUAGAAAUGUCCUUCAGCUUUGCACAUAAAGAAAUGCAGUGAGUUAUAACGAAAUGGCAGCUUUGGAUGCAGAAUCCAGGUCUGGAGCAAGUCAGCAUCGGCUUUAAGAGGCCUUGGGAAGACUUGCUAAUUAUCUGUGCAAAUAAAGAAGCCUUGGUCCAGAUGGAAUCAGAUCUCUGAUACCUGGCUUUUGAACCAUCAUGUGGACUACCAUCAGGUGUGGGCUUGCAGAAAAGUGUAUCAGGGAUACAGCUCAAGUUUUAGAUGAAGCUGCCAGACCAGAUGGGCUUCUGAAGAGAGCACAGAACAGACUCCUCCAGACAACAGAAAAUGCUCUACAGUGCUGGCAUUUAUCAAGAGAAGACACACAGCACAGCCUUGCAUAAAUAAUGGCACUGGACCAAGUACAGCUGAGGUGGUUGCCAGCACAACUCCAUUGAACUCAAAGGAAUCGCACCACGGGUGAGUCUGGCCCUAGGCUCAGGUCAUGGAGGACUUUAACAUGACAAUUUUCAGUAAUGCUUCAGCUGUUUGAGGUAGUUGAGUCUGGGUUUGCCUUUUGGUUGAGUACUGUAUUUUGCUUCAAAUAAAGGAGCUGAACUUCUGCUCA